RNAcentral lists this small RNA (122 nucleotides) under Enterobacter ludwigii. Its description in RNAcentral is "Enterobacteria greA leader". It matches the Rfam family "Enterobacteria greA leader". Lineage: Bacteria; Pseudomonadati; Pseudomonadota; Gammaproteobacteria; Enterobacterales; Enterobacteriaceae. The record is from RNAcentral.
GUCAUACUACGGUGCAUAGCACUGCAAAGUAAACGAUGACCCAUAGUGAACUUCGCGGUAAAAUGCGUAUCAAAUUGAAAAUUGUUGCUGACCUGGGGCUUCGCUCCCGGGUCGGUUUUCUU